CAACACGGGAAAGUAUAGAUAUGAUUGGAUUGGAUUUGAGUCGCAACUUAGUAAGGAAAGCGCCUAAGGCGUCUGUCAGCCGGUUCGUGAUGAUUCGUUGUGCGGGAAAGACCCGGAGCGGAACGACUAUUACUGAAGCUUUCGACGAGGACCCGGACUUCAUGCCUGAUCGAGGGAGGGUCGAUGAUAGUAGUGUGGGGUAUGGGUGGUUAGAGUCUUUUGGAGUUGGCUGUUACUGUAAUAGCUCUGAUUCGUUUUGCUUUUGGGACAGGGUAGGUUCCCGAUGCAUGGCUUUUUGUGUGAUUCUCUUGCGGAGGGAUCACAGUGAGUCAGUCGGACCAUAGGGGUCUUUGCUUAGGCCAUUUUGAGGCCGACUUUCUCCUGGUGGUUUGUAAUUAUACUUUUUCUCACUCACACUUCUGGAUCUGUAAAUAUUUGCCUACGGGCACACUACUUUGGAGUCACUGCGAGUGUGUGGGGCGUGGAAGUGCAGCUGAGGCUGUACAUGUUUAUAUUUGAUGUAUAUUGGUUAGUUUAGUAGUUGUGUUUUGUCUUUA
Long non-coding RNA from Lotus japonicus, 557 nucleotides. RefSeq lists it as uncharacterized. The transcript has 2 exons. The record is from RefSeq and is a predicted model, not a curated record. Lineage: Eukaryota; Viridiplantae; Streptophyta; Magnoliopsida; Fabales; Fabaceae.